GUCGAGAAUCUUCGGCAAUGGGCGCAAGCCUGACCGAGCGACGCCGCGUGGAGGAUGAAGGCCUUCGGGUUGUAAACUCCUGUCGAGGGGGAGGAAGGCGCAAGCUUGACCUAUCCCUGGAGGAAGCACGGGCUAAGUUCGUGCCAGCAGCCGCGGUAAGACGAACCGUGCGAACGUUAUUCGGAAUCACUGGGCUUAAAGCGCGUGUAGGCGGAUGGGGACGUCGGUUGCUGAAAUCCCCCGGCUCAACCGGGGAACGGGCACCGAAACGCCCCGUCUGGAGGGACGUAGGGGGACCUGGAACUUCCGGUGGAGCGGUGAAAUGCGUUGAGAUCGGAAGGAACGCCCGUGGCGAAAGCGAGGUCCUGGACGUUUUCUGACGCUGAGACGCGAAAGCUAGGGUAGCGAACGGGAUUAGAAACCCCAGUAGUCC
This 433-nucleotide ribosomal RNA is filed under the name uncultured bacterium. RNAcentral describes it as "bacterial SSU rRNA". It matches the Rfam family "Bacterial small subunit ribosomal RNA", at positions 354 to 796 of the family's 1533-position model. The record is from RNAcentral.